Molecule: ribosomal RNA, 182 nt
Filed under: Gracilibacillus halotolerans
Lineage: Bacteria; Bacillati; Bacillota; Bacilli; Caryophanales; Bacillaceae
Also listed under: 1 other name
Description: partial 16S ribosomal RNA
Rfam family: Bacterial small subunit ribosomal RNA
Source: RNAcentral
AUGCCGCGGUGAAUACGUUCCCGGGUCUUGUACACACCGCCCGUCACACCACGAGAGUUGGUAACACCCGAAGUCGGUGAGGUAACCGUAAGGAGCCAGCCGCCGAAGGUGGGAUCAAUGAUUGGGGUGAAGUCGUAACAAGGUAGCCGUAUCGGAAGGUGCGGCUGGAUCACCUCCUUUCU